Pezoporus flaviventris is the source of this 1162-nucleotide long non-coding RNA. RefSeq lists it as uncharacterized. The record is from RefSeq and is a predicted model, not a curated record. The transcript has 2 exons. Lineage: Eukaryota; Metazoa; Chordata; Aves; Psittaciformes; Psittacidae.
AGUAGGACACUCUAUUGUUCAGUCCCGGUGCUGCUUGGCUGUUCCUUGACAGAACAGUAAAUGGUUGCAACGUAUUCCUAACAUGAUUAUCUCUCCCCACUGAUAAUGUAACAUGGCACAACAUGAAAACUUCUUUCUCUGCUCAAGAAGAAAAGCAGGAAUGGCAAGGGACCAAAGUGGAACCACCCUCUGAGAAUCUCCAUCACUGAUCCACAUCUCUAAAAUACCAAUAUAUUUCACUUUUCCUUCACAAUAUAAACUGUUGUGUACUACAUCAAGAUCGAUGGAUUUUCAUUCUUUCAGGCUUCAUAAUAACAGAAAUAAUAAUAAACUAGCCUGACAUUUUAUCUGUGCAUAAGUAUUUUGGGUGAUGGUAGAACUUGAAAACUGUCUAUAAAAUAUAGUUUGUAUUACUCCUUCCAGAAAAAUAAAUUAAAAAAUGGAAAGUUCAUAGCCAGCAGCAUAAUUUCAACAUCACAAUGGUGAAGACAAGACUUAGACAAAGGUAUUUCAAAAGCACUGGGAAAAGAACCAGCAAGAUCAUUCUCUUUCUUAAGAAACAGUUUUGGAAUAGAAAAAUCACCUUCCCUAUCUGCGUGUAGCCAUCCAUUCUUAGAUCUUUAGUCUACUUGCUUGUAUGUAGUAUAAAUAUAUGUAGCAAAAGGAAGAGCUAGAUGUGAAUUUGAAGUUGUUUUUAAGCUCAUCCAAGAAAAGAUUUCUUUUCACUUUGUGUCAAAUAAAUCUUUCUUCAGUUUCACCAUUUUAUCAUUUAUCAUUGGUGCAUUUCUUCUUUCAGUUCCAAGAUCUUCCCUUGAUGACUCUUUAUGGUAUAUUCUCCAUGUGAUUUGAGAGAGUUGGCAUUGCCAUGUGGACAGUUUCUUGCAACAGAGAAGCAACAAAGUGUAUAGCAAAGUAGAGCUUGGAGCUGCUACUAUUGUGCAACAGCAACAGAAAUAUGCUCUAAAUAUACGCUCUGUGAAAUAAAUAGCAUUGGAAGUGUGAGCAGGCUGUUCUAUUACAAAAUGCCUUAAAACAACAAAAGCAGUGAUCUAUACUAACCUUGUCGAUUUUAAAGACUUUCUUUUUUUGCCCACUGAACAGUUACUUAUUCCCUGCAUUUAUAUUCUAAAUGAAUAACGCAGACAUGGGGUCAAAGACAGAA